AUUGAACGCUGGCGGCAUGCCUUACACAUGCAAGUCGAACGGCAGCACGGGAGCAAUCCUGGUGGCGAGUGGCGAACGGGUGAGUAAAGUAUCGGAACGUACCUUUCAGUGGGGGAUAACGUAGCGAAAGUUACGCUAAUACCGCAUAUUCUGUGAGCAGGAAAGCAGGGGAUCGCAAGACCUUGCGCUGAUGGAGCGGCCGAUAUCAGAUUAGCUAGUUGGUGAGGUAAAGGCUCACCAAGGCGACGAUCUGUAGCGGGUCUGAGAGGAUGAUCCGCCACACUGGGACUGAGACACGGCCCAGACUCCUACGGGAGGCAGCAGUGGGGAAUUUUGGACAAUGGGCGCAAGCCUGAUCCAGCCAUGCCGCGUGCGGGAAGAAGGCCUC
This 388-nucleotide ribosomal RNA is filed under the name uncultured bacterium. RNAcentral's name for it is "bacterial SSU rRNA". It matches the Rfam family "Bacterial small subunit ribosomal RNA", at positions 30 to 418 of the family's 1533-position model. The record is from RNAcentral.